UGAAGGAGCCCGAGUGAUGCUGACCAGAAACUUGGACACACUAAACGGUUUGGUCAAUGGUGCUUUUGGUAUACUGAUAAAGGUGGUGAGAUCUGAAAAUGAUGGACAAAUAAUUAAACUGGGGCUCAGAAUGGACAACCGGCAGCCUAUGAGACACAACCGCAGUGCUAAUGCAGCAUCUGAUGAUCUGGUUUACAUUGAGAGAGCAGAGGAGAGUCUGAAGUUUAAAGGAGCGCAGGGUGACGUCUCUCAGUGGACUCUAUUUGCAGGACUUGGAUGAGAACAAGAUUUAUGCCAAUCCCGAGGUAACUGCAGCGCUCCAAACCAUGAGACAAGCCAAUGUUGAAGAAAUGAUGCCUCUUCUUCAGAGUCUCACCUCCAAGGCUCCUUUGUUGCAGACAGUCUUCAUUUGGACGGCUACACCAUGUUCA
Molecule: long non-coding RNA, 431 nt
Organism: Oreochromis aureus
Lineage: Eukaryota; Metazoa; Chordata; Actinopteri; Cichliformes; Cichlidae
Source: Ensembl